RNAcentral lists this RNase P RNA (282 nucleotides) under Gammaproteobacteria bacterium. Its description in RNAcentral is "partial RNase P RNA component class A". It matches the Rfam family "Bacterial RNase P class A", at positions 1 to 283 of the family's 367-position model. From Rfam's summary of the family: Ribonuclease P (RNase P) is a ubiquitous endoribonuclease, found in archaea, bacteria and eukarya as well as chloroplasts and mitochondria. Its best characterised activity is the generation of mature 5'-ends of tRNAs by cleaving the 5'-leader elements of precursor-tRNAs. The record is from RNAcentral. Lineage: Bacteria; Pseudomonadati; Pseudomonadota; Gammaproteobacteria.
GGAGUCGGCCAGGCAAUCGCCCCAGCGCAAGUGAGGGAGGAAAGUCCGGGCUCCAAAGGGUAGAGUGCCAGGUAACGCCUGGGAGGCGCGAGCCUACGGAAAGUGCAGCAGAAAAUAAACCGCCUGUUUUUCAUUCGUGAAAGGCAGGUAAGGGUGAAAUGGUGCGGUAAGAGCGCACCGCGCGGCCGGUAACGGGCGUGGCAGUGUAAACCCCACUCGGAGCAAGACCAAAUAGGAAUCCGCUAAUCGUGACCCGCGAUGGGAUUCGGGUAGGUCGCUAUA